UACGUAGGGUGCGAGCGUUGUCCGGAAUUAUUGGGCGUAAAGAGCUCGUAGGCGGUGUGUCGCGUCGGCCGUGAAAACCUGCAGCUUAACUGUGGGCUUGCGGUCGAUACGGGCAUCACUGGAGUUCGGCAGGGGAGACUGGAAUUCCUGGUGUAGCGGUGAAAUGCGCAGAUAUCAGGAGGAACACCGGUGGCGAGGGCGGGUCUCUGGGCCGAUACUGACGCUGAGGAGCGAAAGCGUGGGGAGCGAACAGG
This 254-nucleotide ribosomal RNA is filed under the name uncultured bacterium. RNAcentral describes it as "partial 16S ribosomal RNA". It matches the Rfam family "Bacterial small subunit ribosomal RNA", at positions 524 to 776 of the family's 1533-position model. The record is from RNAcentral.